RNAcentral lists this ribosomal RNA (403 nucleotides) under uncultured bacterium. Its description in RNAcentral is "partial 16S ribosomal RNA". It matches the Rfam family "Bacterial small subunit ribosomal RNA", at positions 30 to 526 of the family's 1533-position model. The record is from RNAcentral.
AUUGAACGCUGGCGGCAGGCCUAACACAUGCAAGUCGAGCGAGCGGCGGACGGGUGAGUAAUAUGUGGGGACUGCCCGAUAGAGGGGGAUAACUCCUGGAGACGGUAGCUAAUACCGCAUACUAUAGGAUAACCCAUAUGGGAUUAGCUCGUAGGUGAGGUAAUGGCUCACCUAGGCGACGAUCCCUAGCUGGUCUGAGAGGAUGAUCAGCCACACUGGGACUGAGACACGGCCCAGACUCCUACGGAGGUAGCAGUGGGGAAUAUUGCACAAUGGGCGCAAGCCUGAUGCAGCCAUGCCGCGUGUAUGAAGAAGGCCUUAGGGUUGUAAAGUACUUUCAGUCGGGAGGCGUUACCGACAGAAGAAGCACCGGCUAACUCCGUGCCAGCAGCCGCGGUAAUAC